Molecule: ribosomal RNA, 547 nt
Filed under: uncultured bacterium
Lineage: Bacteria
Description: bacterial SSU rRNA
Rfam family: Bacterial small subunit ribosomal RNA
Source: RNAcentral
UGGGGAAUAUUGCGCAAUGGGGGGAACCCUGACGCAGCCAUGCCGCGUGAAUGAAGAAGGCCUUCGGGUUGUAAAGAUCUUUCGGUAUUGAGGAAGGUUGAUGUGUUAAUAGCACAUCAAAUUGACGUUAAAUACAGAAGAAGCACCGGCUAACUCCGUGCCAGCAGCCGCGGUAAUACGGAGGGUGCGAGCGUUAAUCGGAAUAACUGGGCGUAAAGGGCACGCAGGCGGUUAUUUAAGUGAGGUGUGAAAGCCCCGGGCUUAACCUGGGAACUGCAUUUCAGACUGGGUAACUAGAGUACUUUAGGGAGGGGUAGAAUUCCACGUGUAGCGGUGAAAUGCGUAGAGAUGUGGAGGAAUACCGAAGGCGAAGGCAGCCCCUUGGGAAUGUACUGACGCUCAUGUGCGAAAGCGUGGGGAGCAAACAGGAUUAGAUACCCUGGUAGUCCACGCUGUAAACGCUGUCGAUUUGGGGGUUGGGGUUUAACUCUGGCGCCCGUAGCUAACGUGAUAAAUCGACCGCCUGGGGAGUACGGCCGCAAGGUUA